UACGGAGGGAGCUAGCGUUGUUCGGAUAUACUGGGCGUAAAGCGCACGUAGGCGGCGUCGUAAGUCAGGGGUGAAAUCCCGGAGCUCAACUCCGGAACUGCCCUUGAAACUGCAAUGCUAGAAUCUUGGAGAGGCGAGUGGAACUCCGAGUGUAGAGGUGAAAUUCGUAGAUAUUCGGAAGAACACCAGUGGCGAAGGCGACUCGCUGGACAAGUAUUGACGCUGAGGUGCGAAAGCGUGGGGAGCAAACAGG
This 253-nucleotide ribosomal RNA is filed under the name uncultured bacterium. Its description in RNAcentral is "partial 16S ribosomal RNA". It matches the Rfam family "Bacterial small subunit ribosomal RNA", at positions 524 to 776 of the family's 1533-position model. The record is from RNAcentral.